RNAcentral lists this ribosomal RNA (444 nucleotides) under uncultured bacterium. RNAcentral's name for it is "bacterial SSU rRNA". It matches the Rfam family "Bacterial small subunit ribosomal RNA", at positions 355 to 796 of the family's 1533-position model. The record is from RNAcentral.
UAAGGAAUAUUGGUCAAUGGACGCAAGUCUGAACCAGCCAUGCCGCGUGAAGGAUGAAGGUCCUCUGGAUUGUAAACUUCUUUUAUCUGGGACGAAAAAAGGGAAUUCUUUCUCACUUGACGGUACCAGAAGAAUAAGCACCGGCUAACUCCGUGCCAGCAGCCGCGGUAAUACGGAGGGUGCAAGCGUUAUCCGGAUUUACUGGGUUUAAAGGGUGCGUAGGUGGGCAGGUAAGUCAGUGGUGAAAUCCUCAAGCUUAACUUGAGAACUGCCAUUGAUACUAUCUGUCUUGAAUAUCCUGGAGGUGAGCGGAAUAUGUCAUGUAGCGGUGAAAUGCUUAGAUAUGACAUAGAACACCCAUUGCGAAGGCAGCUCACUACGGGAUUAUUGACACUGAGGCACGAAAGCGUGGGGAUCAAACAGGAUUAGAUACCCCUGUAGUCC